Homo sapiens (human) is the source of this 1289-nucleotide long non-coding RNA. Ensembl annotates it as USP38 divergent transcript. Its record names the gene USP38-DT. NCBI's taxonomy places the organism in Eukaryota, Metazoa, Chordata, Mammalia, Primates, Hominidae. The record is from Ensembl.
GUGUGUCGAGUCACAGGCGGUCUUCCGCGCGGAGCGUCCCCGGCGGACGCUGCGCAGAUGGCUGCGACUGUAGGAUUCUUGCCGGCUAGUCUUCGUCGGUUCCGCCUGCGUCAGGUUACUCGUGAAAACUCGAAUAAGUGCUAUCGAUGUGAAAUCCGAGGAAAAGAGCAUUUGGGGGAAAAGUUAAAAGGACUUCUGACUCAAACUCCUCCUCUUGAGUUUGCAGUUUGCCACUUCCAGCCUGGCGACUAGGUGCUGAUUAAGACUUGGAAAGAAGACAAGCUCCACCCAAGCUGAGAAGGUCCCUGUCAAGUGCUGCUGACCCCUGAGAUGGCCAUAUGUACAGCUGAAUGGGGGUGGACUCACUAUACUUGUCAAGGGACUGGUAAAAGAGACCCUGGAAGGGUGGGAAAAAGACCAGUGGAAAGUACAUGGGUCACCUGAGGAACCCUUAAAAUUAACUCUGAGAUGAAUCUAAAAAGAAAACAUGGGCUGGUCCCAUUUCUGGAAAUUAAUAUGGCUGGGAUGGGCUACUAUGCAAAGAGAAGAAGGUCAAAGUAGAAACUAUCAGGGGACUCCUCCCUACCCACUCAGGUUGGUAAUUAAUGUAAACAAGAUGGUGGCACCCAAGACUAUAAGAUUUGAUGACUGCCAAGGUUUUUACCUUGUAAGAAUUUGGAAAAUCAGAGACAGCUCUCACAUGUGGAUAAAUAUCCACUUCAUAUGAGGUGCUUGGAAUAGUCAAAUUAGAGGUUUCUAGGGGCUAGGGAGAAAAUAAAUGGGGAGUUAUUGUUUAAUAGGUACAGAGUUUCUCUUUCAAAGAAUGAAAAGUUCUGUAAAUGGAUAGUGGUGAUGAUUGCACAACAGUGUGUACUUAAUGCCACCGAACUGUACACUUAAGAAUGGUAAAUUUUAGGUUAUAUUUUACCACAAUAAAAAAUUAAAAUCAACAGUAAAGAAAUCAAUCCAAUUAAAAAUGGGCAAAAGAUUUCAAGACACAUUUCAAUGAAGAGGAUUUACAUAUGGCAAACAAAUGGAAAGUUGUUUAACAUUUCUAGCUAAUAGGGAAAUGCAAAUUAAGACCAUGAGAUAUUAUAACACAUUUAUUAGAGAACCACUAAAAUAAAAAAUGGUGACAACAUUAAUGCUGGCAAAGAUGCAGACAAACUGAUUUCUCAUACAUUGCAAGUGGAAAUGCAAAAUGGUUUAACCACUCUGGAGAAUUGUUUGGAAGUUUCUUAAAAAUUAAACAUGCAGCUAUCAUAUGAUCAAACUGUUGAACUACUAGG